UGAGCGCUCAAAUCCGCUGCCGAGGCUAGUUGUACCUCGAAGGGAAACACAUUGGAAUUUAAAACCACCCACUAAAACGCCUACCCUUAUUUCGGCGGUCCUGUCUUCAUCUUCUGUCCUCAUUGGCUUGACAGGCUCCACUUUGCAUCAGUCUAUUUUUCGGCAUCUGGAAGAAAAAAGGAUGCAAGAAAGACAGCAUAUGAGAGCUGUGAAGACUAUGGAUGAACUGAGGGAAAGACAAGGCCUCAAAGAUACAAAAGCUCCUCCAGCACUGGCUGUAAGACAUACGCAUCUGCUGUACGGCAUCUCAGAGCAGUAGGUGUACGGACAGGGAACGCAGACCGGGCCCGGGUACCUCCGGGGGUCUGCUUAAAGCACAGGUGAGGACAUGUUCGAGCUGCAUUCAGUAUACUAGCAGCAGAAGACGCGAGCCAGGCCCCGGGCAAGGACCUCUCUUCUCUCCGGUCUUUGAGAUCUCCACCCGGAACCGUUACACUCCCCUCCGCGAGACGGUAUGCGACACUGCGAUCAUUGAAGUCUCUAUCGUCCGGCACGACGAUCAUCGUGUCAGGACAGCUUCCCACGUAUCGACAAGGACAUGAAAGGGUCAGUAGAUUUUUUGCUUUAAACGAAUGGUUAUUGUCAUG
Molecule: long non-coding RNA, 647 nt
Organism: Cyprinus carpio carpio
Lineage: Eukaryota; Metazoa; Chordata; Actinopteri; Cypriniformes; Cyprinidae
Source: Ensembl